AGAUUAAGUUAUUAAGGGCGCACGGUGGAUGCCUUGGCACUAGAAGCCGAUGAAGGACGUUACUAACGACGAUAUGCUUUGGGGAGCUGUAAGUAAGCUUUGAUCCAGAGAUUUCCGAAUGGGGAAACCCAGCACGAGUUAUGUCGUGUUAUCUGCAUGUGAAUACAUAGCAUGCAAGAAGGCAGACCCGGAGAACUGAAACAUCUUAGUACCCGGAGGAAGAGAAAGAAAAAUCGAUUCCCUGAGUAGCGGCGAGCGAAACGGGAAGAGCCCAAACCAAUAAGCUUGCUUAUUGGGGUUGUAGGACACUCUGUACGGAGUUACAAAAGAAUUUGUUAGACGAAUAACCUGGAAAGGUUAAUCAGAGAAGGUAAUAAUCCUGUAGUCGAAAACGAAUUCUCUCUUGAGUGGAUCCUGAGUACGACGGAGCACGUGAAAUUCCGUCGGAAUCUGGGAGGACCAUCUCCUAAGGCUAAAUACUCUCUAGUGACCGAUAGUGAACCAGUACCGUGAGGGAAAGGUGAAAAGUACCCCGGAAGGGGAGUGAAAGAGAACUUGAAACCGUGUGCUUACAAGUAGUCAGAGCCCGUUAAUGGGUGAUGGCGUGCCUUUUGUAGAAUGAACCGGCGAGUUACGAUCUGAUGCAAGGUUAAGCAGAAAAUGUGGAGCCGUAGCGAAAGCGAGUCUGAAUAGGGCGAAUGAGUAUUUGGUCGUAGACCCGAAACCAGGUGAUCUACCCUUGGUCAGGUUGAAGUUCAGGUAACACUGAAUGGAGGACCGAACCGACUUACGUUGAAAAGUGAGCGGAUGAACUGAGGGUAGCGGAGAAAUUCCAAUCGAACUUGGAGAUAGCUGGUUCUCUCCGAAAUAGCUUUAGGGCUAGCCUCAAGUGAUGAUUAUUGGAGGUAGAGCACUGUUUGGACGAGGGGCCCCUCUCGGGUUACCGAAUUCAGACAAACUCCGAAUGCCAAAUAAUUUAACUUGGGAGUCAGAAUGUGGGUGAUAAGGUCCAUAUUCGAAAGGGAAACAGCCCAGACCACCAGCUAAGGUCCCAAAAUAUAUGUUAAGUGGAAAAGGAUGUGGCGUUGCCCAGACAACUAGGAUGUUGGCUUAGAAGCAGCCAUCAUUUAAAGAGUGCGUAAUAGCUCACUAGUCGAGUGACACUGCGCCGAAAAUGUACCGGGGCUAAACAUAUUACCGAAGCUGUGGAUUGUCCUUUGGACAAUGGUAGGAGAGCGUUCUAAGGGCGUUGAAGCAUGAUCGCAAGGACAUGUGGAGCGCUUAGAAGUGAGAAUGCCGGUGUGAGUAGCGAAAGACGGGUGAGAAUCCCGUCCACCGAUUGACUAAGGUUUCCAGAGGAAGGCUCGUCCGCUCUGGGUUAGUCGGGUCCUAAGCUGAGGCCGACAGGCGUAGGCGAUGGAUAACAGGUUGAUAUUCCUGUACCACCAUUAUUCGUUUUAAGCGAUGGGGGGACGCAGUAGGAUAG
RNAcentral lists this ribosomal RNA (1486 nucleotides) under Staphylococcus pseudintermedius. Its description in RNAcentral is "bacterial LSU rRNA". It matches the Rfam family "Bacterial large subunit ribosomal RNA", at positions 1 to 1485 of the family's 2925-position model. Lineage: Bacteria; Bacillati; Bacillota; Bacilli; Caryophanales; Staphylococcaceae. The record is from RNAcentral.